GAUGAACGCUGGCGGCGUGCCUAAUACAUGCAAGUCGAGCGAACAGACGUGGAGCUUGCUCCUCUGACGUUAGCGGCGGACGGGUGAGUAACACGUGGAUAACCUACCUAUAAGACUGGGAUAACUUCGGGAAACCGGAGCUAAUACCGGAUAAUAUAUUGAACCGCAUGGUUCAAUAGUGAAAGACGGUUUUGCUGUCACUUAUAGAUGGAUCCGCGCCGCAUUAGCUAGUUGGUAAGGUAACGGCUUACCAAGGCAACGAUGCGUAGCCGACCUGAGAGGGUGAUCGGCCACACUGGAACUGAGACACGGUCCAGACUCCUACGGGAGGCAGCAGUAGGGAAUCUUCCGCAAUGGGCGAAAGCCUGACGGAGCAACGCCGCGUGAGUGAUGAAGGUCUUCGGAUCGUAAAACUCUGUUAUUAGGGAAGAACAAAUGUGUAAGUAACUAUGCACGUCUUGACGGUCCCUAAUCAGAAAGCCACGGCUAACUACGUG
This 497-nucleotide ribosomal RNA is filed under the name uncultured bacterium. RNAcentral's name for it is "partial 16S ribosomal RNA". It matches the Rfam family "Bacterial small subunit ribosomal RNA", at positions 28 to 507 of the family's 1533-position model. The record is from RNAcentral.